AACCUGCCUGGUAGCGGGGGAUAACUAUUGGAAACGAUAGCUAAUACCGCAUAACAGUAGAUGUUGCAUGACAUUUGCUUAAAAGGUGCAAUUGCAUCACUACCAGAUGGACCUGCGUUGUAUUAGCUAGUUGGUGGGGUAACGGCUCACCAAGGCGACGAUCCCUAGCUGGUCUGAGAGGAUGACCAGCCACACUGGAACUGAGACACGGUCCAG
This 216-nucleotide ribosomal RNA is filed under the name uncultured Streptococcaceae bacterium. RNAcentral's name for it is "partial 16S ribosomal RNA". It matches the Rfam family "Bacterial small subunit ribosomal RNA", at positions 123 to 334 of the family's 1533-position model. The record is from RNAcentral. Lineage: Bacteria; Bacillati; Bacillota; Bacilli; Lactobacillales; Streptococcaceae.